RNAcentral lists this transfer RNA (82 nucleotides) under Thiohalophilus thiocyanatoxydans. It matches the Rfam family "tRNA". Rfam says of the family: Transfer RNA (tRNA) molecules are approximately 80 nucleotides in length. Their secondary structure includes four short double-helical elements and three loops (D, anti-codon, and T loops). Lineage: Bacteria; Pseudomonadati; Pseudomonadota; Gammaproteobacteria; Thiohalomonadales; Thiohalophilaceae. The record is from Rfam by way of RNAcentral.
GCGGAAGUGGUGAAAUUGGUAUACACGCCAGAUUUAGGAUCUGGUGCCGCAAGGCGUGUGGGUUCGAGUCCCACCUUCCGCA